AUGGUGAUUCUCAAGUUUCUCUGCGUCGUCCCUAGGCAGUACAAGCAACUGGCCUGGUCCAUCGAGAGUUUGGUUGAUCUCUCCACCAUGACGAUCGAGGAGCUAGUAGGGCGGCUGAAGGUCGUCGAGGAGCGCGGCAACGACGCCAACAACCAUGCUGGCGGCGAACUGCUGCUCACCAGGGAGCAGUGGGACGCGCAGCUUCAGCAGCGCGGCCGCGACGGCUCUUCCGGCAGUGGGGGAGGCGCCCCCACGGGAAGCAGAGGUCGCGGCAGAGGCGGAGGCCGCGCCCAGAGCGGUGGCGGCAACCGCGGUCGCAGGCCAAGCCAGGCAGGGCGAGGCGCUGGCAACGGUGGCAAGUGCCGCUACUGCAACAUGCCGGGUCACUGGAUCCGGCAUUGCCACAAGAGGAAAGCCGACGAGGCAACCGCGGCAACGGCAAACCUCGUCCAGGCUGAUGUGGACGGCGGGCCGGCAAUGAUGUUGGCAAGAGUCGAGCCCGUGCAGGAGAGCUCAGCAUCUCCCGCGACCACGGCCCCGACAACCACCCAUUCCAUGCAAGAGGCACGGAGCCCGUCCAUGGGAACCAUCACUCAAGUGACAGGCCACACCUCGACAACUACGUUCUCGGGGCCUGUUGACUGGGAGGCGAUGAAGGCCCGGGUGUGGGGGAGCCACACCCCGGCGACGGCGUCCCCGACAACCUCGGGAUCCAACAAGGUCGCGCGAGUUGGUGUGGCAAUGACGCAUAUGGCGGACCAUGCUCCGACCAUGAUGCUGGCGACCAUCGACUCCGUGCAGGAUCGCAUGGAGACUCAGGUCAUCCACACCCUAACGCCGAAGUGUUCGGGGUCCACCAUGAUGAUGGGAGAUGGCUCCCCGACAACGGUGUGUGCGUGCGGCUAUGUCUUCCUCAACGAGGAGAGAGCCGUGACCACACCCACGCUUGCAGGUGGAAAGCAAAGUGAGGGUUGGUUCCUCGACACCGGCGCCACGAACCACAUGACUGGUUCGGUCGACGCGUUCGCGGAGCUGGACCGCUUAAUCACUGGGAAGGUGCGGUUCGCGGACGGAUCCAUGGUGGAGAUCCAUGGGCGCGAGACCGUCGUCUUCGCCAACAAAGGGGGUGAUCACAGGGCGUUCACGGAUGUCUACUUCAUCCCAGCGCUCAAGAGCAGCGUCAUGAGUGUCGGACAGCUCGAUGAGGGCUGGUUCGACAUCGGCAUCCGGCGUGGUGUUCUCACCGUGUGCGACCAGCAGAAGAGGCUUCUUAUCGAGGUAACCCGCUCGCCAAACCGCCUCUAUAAAUUCUUCUUUCAACCCGUGCAUCCUGUGUGCCUUGCCAUGGGUCAUGUCUCCGACGCGUGGCGUUGGCAUGCCAGGCUAGGACACCAGCACUUUGACGGGUUGCGGAAGAUGGCGCGAGGCAACCUCGUUCAUGGGCUACCUCACAUCAAGCACGCCGACGAGUUGUGCGAUGCGUGUCUUGCCGGGAAGCAGCGGCGCCUGCCCUUUCCCGAGAAGGAACGCUAUCGGGCGCAUAAACCCCUGGAGCUGGUUCAUGGGGACCUCUACGGCCCAAUCACCCCGGCAACGCCAGGAGGGCGUCGCUACAUCCUCCUUCUCAUCGACGACUACAGCAGGUUCAUGUGGGUGCUGCUCCUCACCUCCAAGGAUGAGGCGGAGCGAGCCAUCGUCAAGCAGCAAGCGGCAGCAGAGGUCGAGUGUGGCCACAAGCUGCGCGUGCUGCGCACGGACCGUGGCGGCGAGUUCAAACCGGCCACGUUCUACAAGCACUGCGACGAGAAAGGGGUGCAACGUCACCUCAUAGCCCCUUACUCGCCGCAGCAGAACGGCGUCGUCGAGCGGAGGAACCAGACAGUGCUUGGGAUGGCACGCUGCAUGCUCAAGGCAAAGCAGGUGCCGAGCACGUAUUGGGGGGAGGCCAUGCUCACGGCCGUCUUCAUCCUCAACCGCUCCUUCACAAGGAGCAUCGACGGAAAGACGCCUUACGAGGCGUGGUAUGGGAGGAAGCCAGAUGUACGCUUCCUCCGUACCUUUGGCUGCGUCGGGCACGUCAAGAUGACGCGCCCACAGCUGAAGAAGCUCGACGACAGGAGCACCCCAAUGGUGUUCAUGGGCUACGAGAUGGGCUCUAAGGCGUACAAGAUGUAUGACCCUGUCUCAAAGCGUGUGCAUGUCUCUCGUGACGUCAUCUUCGACGAAGACGCGCGAUGGACUUGGGAGGCGUCGGGGGAGGCCCCGGCAAGCAGUUCCUUCACUGUGGAGUACCCGAUGUACUCUACAACCCCGGGAAGCAAGACCCCGGGAAGUACCACCCCGGGAAGCUCGGGAGGUGUGGAUCUGGGAACAGCGACCCCGAGAACACUGUCCCCGGGUACGGUGUCGCCGGACACCACGACGUCAAGCAACAUGGGUCCUGGGAGGCAGUUCGCAACCCCGCCAACGGCGAGGUCGGAGCUAUUCGACGCCGACGACAGCGUAGGCGCCCCCCAUAGGUUUCGGCGCAUGGGAGAUCUCCUCGGCGAAGCUGCGGCAACACCGCAACAGCCCGAGGAUGAGGACGCUGAUGACGACGAGGUCUUGCAUCUGAUGGCCGGCGAGGAGCCGACCACAUUCGUGGAGGCCGAGCAAGAGGAUUGCUGGCGCCACGCGAUGUUGGACGAGCUGGCGUCGAUCAACGACAACGCCACUUGGACACUCACCACACUACCUGCUGGGCACCGAGCCAUCGGGCUCAAGUGGGUGUUCAAGGUGAAGAAGGACGAGCACGGUGCCAUUGUCAAGCACAAGGUGCGCCUCAUCGCAAAGGGCUACGUGCAGCGUGAGGGAGUGGACUUCGAGGAAGUCUUCGCUCCGGUGGCAAGGCUGGAGUCGGUGCGGCUCAUCCUUGCCGUGGCCGCUCACCGCGGGUGGGAGGUACACCACAUGGACAUCAAGUCGGCGUUUCUCAACGACGACCUUAACGAGGAGGUGUACGUCUCCCAACCACCCGGGUUCGUUGCCAAGGGCCACGAGCAGGGCGUGUAUCGACUACACAAGGCCCUGUAUGGUCUCCGGCAAGCCCCAAGGGCGUGGAACGCCAAGCUCGAUGCAAGCCUCGCAUCCCUUGGGUUCUCACGCAGCGCUUCUGAGCAUGGUGUGUACUCGCGUGGCACCGCGAACACGCUGCUCAUCGUCGGCAUCUACGUCGACGACUUGGUCAUUACCGGGGCAGAGCCUAAAGAGGUUCAACGCUUCAAGGGAGAGAUGCAUCGUCUCUUCAGCAUGAGCGACCUUGGGCUGCUCCGUUACUACCUCGGGCUGGAGGUGAACCAGGAGGGUGGUCGCAUCACGAUCACGCAGACGGCCUACGCCACCAAGAUGCUCGAGCGAGCAGGCAUGAAGGACUGCUAUGCUGUGCAUGCUCCAAUGGAGGCACGGCUGAAGCUCAGCAAGGAGAGCCGCGAGAAGGCGGUGGAUGCCACACUCUACCGUAGCAUCAUCGGGAGUCUCAGGUACCUCGUGCACACCCGACCGGACAUCACGUUCGUUGUCGGAUACCUGAGUAGGUUCAUGGAAGCUCCGGCAAGCGAUCACCUGGCUGCCGUCAAGCACCUGCUCUGGUACAUCGCGGGUACGCUCACGCAUGGAUGCGUGUAUCAUCAUGGCGACGGCGAAAGCUUGGUCGGAUACAGCGACUCUGACCACGCUGGUGACGUGGACUCCAGGAAGAGCACCUCGGGCAUACUAUUCCUUCUCGGAAAUAGUCCCAUCAGCUGGCAAUCGGUGAGGCAGAAGGUUGUCGCUGUAUCUUCGUGCGAGGCGGAGUACAUCGCGGCAGCUACAGCGGCCUGUCAAGGCAUUUGGCUUGCUCGCCUUCUCGGCGAGAUGCUGAAUCAGGACACCGGCCCUGCGCUCAUCUUCGUUGAUAACAAGUCAGCGAUUUCCCUCUGCAAGAAUCCAGUGCUACACGACCGCAGCAAGCACAUCGAUCUCCGCUAUCACUUCAUACGUGACUGCGUCGAGAAAGGCACGGUGAACGUGGAGUUCAUCAGGACCGGUGAGCAGAAGGCGGACAUCCUGACCAAGUCACUUGGUCGUGUCCGGUUUCAGGAGUUGCGUGAUAAGGUUGGGAUCAUCGACACCAAGCUCCUUCGACAA
This 4164-nucleotide ribosomal RNA is filed under the name Triticum aestivum (bread wheat). Its description in RNAcentral is "partial small subunit ribosomal RNA". The record is from RNAcentral. Lineage: Eukaryota; Viridiplantae; Streptophyta; Magnoliopsida; Poales; Poaceae.